UUAAGUGAAUUUGCAUAUAAUUGUACAUUAUGUAGAAUUUUACUCUGUUUUAGUGUGAGCCUUAUUCUGCUGCCCCCCCCCCCCACCAAUGAAUCUGGAGCCUGUUAGGUAAAUUUUCUCCAGAAUAAACCAUUCCAUUCUCAUUUGUUUGCAAAAGGGAUAAUUGCUUGGCUAUUAUGAGAGGACCUAGAAGUUUAACUACUUUGUAUGCAGACUUUAAAUCAAUUCUUGUAUUAUCUCCCUUUCCCUUCACCGUGCUCCCUGAUGGCCAUUUUUCUUUUGUGGGGGUUUAAGCCUGAAUGUUUCCAGGAUUCUGUUUUCAAAUUAAUCUUGUGUUUCAAUGGUAUUUCCAUUCAUGGUCAUUUAGAAUUGAAUUUCUUCUUCCUUAAGGCCAUCUACUUUCUAGUUUCUGAUUUUUCAUUGCUUUGUCAUCUGCUCUUUUUCCUCUCUUUUUUUCCUUUGACCCUGGGGAUUUAUUCAUUUUCCCCCUUGUUUUUGCUUUAAUGAGGUUUUAUUGAGCAAUAGAGAAAUUUAUGCAAUCCAUCAUGUUUAAUCAGAAGUCCUUCCUAUUAUACUAGAUCUAAAAUAUAAAUGUGUAGUCAUGCUUAAAAUUCAUUAUUGACACCUUGUUCUUAUCAGGAUAAGGUUUAAACUCUUCAGCAAGAUAUAUAAAAGCUCUUAUGAUAAUGAAUCUCAUCUACGUCUCUAGCCUUAUAACUGGCCCCAAAUCUCAUCUCCUCCAUUCUUUACUCUAGCCAUAUUGAACUCUUUGUAGUUUACUGAAUGUGUUGAGUUCUCUGCACUUUGUAUUUCACUUCCUACUUUAUUCAAUAUUUAUUUGAGAGUUACCAGCAUUGGAUUUAUAAUUCAGGCAAGAAGAUAUAGAUGAGGUUCCCUGAAGCAGCACUAUAGAGUAAGAAGUGAAAUAAUCCUAGGAUUGAGCCUUAAAGAAAUCUAACAUGUAGGAUUGUAUAGCAGAGGAAAACAUACAAAAAGAGAACAAAAAGGAGUGGAUAAAUAAUAGGAGGAAAUUUGGAAUUUAUAGUUCUGUGGGAAAGGGGCUGUUUUAAGAUGCAAACAAUAGAUCUUGAUGAAAUAUAUGGGUAAGAUGAUUAAGAAAUUGUUUUGUUUCUGGCAUGUAGGUUAUUGUUCACCUUAAAAACAGUUGUUUUGACUGAAUGAUGAUGACAGAGAAGGAGUUAUCUAACUGUGAAACUGCCUUCUUCCAAAGUUGGAGGCAAGAACAUCUAGUAAAAGAAAACAGAGUUGUGUAAAUAGAGUAGUUGGAACUUUGAAGAGAGUCAAAAUGAAUUUUGAAAUAGUUGUUCUAAGAGUAUGAACAUGUUGACUAGAGAAAUGUAAUAGGGUUACUGGUUGUUUGAAGAUAGUGAUGAGUACUGUACCAUAAUUCUAGUCUGUCCUGUUGUGAUCUGUAUUUUGUAGCACUCACCUGGCAAGACACAAGCAUGAGCAUAUUUUUAUAUGAAGUUUAUAUAAAAUUGGUCUUAUUCAGGGUUGGGUCUUUAUUGACAAGGGAAAAUUAGAAAAAAGAGCAAAUCAGUUUAAGGAGUGGGUGAAAUAAUACAUAGUAGUCCACCCGUGUCUGUGGGGCCCCCUGGUGUAAGCAGGAAAUCUCACUAUAUAUAAAUAUAUACACUAUUUUUUUUCCUAUGCAUAAAUUUCUGUGAUAAAUUAUAAGUUUAAAUUGGGCAUAGUAAGAGAUUAACAGCAAUGAAAAACAGAACAAUUAUAAUGAUAUACUGUAAUAAAUAAAAGUUAUGUGAAUGUAGUCUCUUGAGAAAGUUAAGAUAGAUGUUAAUAUUUUUGGAUUGGUUGACUACAGGUAGCUGAAACCAUGGAAAGUGAAAUGAUGGAUAGGAGGAUACUGUUGUUACAUGAAAUUUGAGCUGCAUAAGGAAGUCAGGAGGACAAUAGUGGGUAGGGAAAGAAAUACUUAUCAUUUAAUUGAAUAAGUUUAUAAGGGCACUUAUAAACUUAAAACUCAAAGGCUCUGAGCCACAUCCCCAGCCCUAUUUUGUAUUUUACUUAGAGACAGGGUCUCACUGAGUUGCUUAGCGCCUCGCUUUUGCUGAGGUUGGCUUUGAACUCAGCAAUCUUCCUGUCUCAGCCUCCUGAGCCUCUGGGAUUACAGGUUGUGCCACCACAACCAGUUG
This 2174-nucleotide long non-coding RNA is filed under the name Marmota monax (woodchuck). The record is from RNAcentral. Lineage: Eukaryota; Metazoa; Chordata; Mammalia; Rodentia; Sciuridae.